CUACGGAGGAUGCAAGCGUUAUCCGGAUUUAUUGGGUUUAAAGGGUGCGUAGGCGGUUUGCUAAGCGGGAGGUGAAAUGCCGGCGCUCAACGUCGGAAGUGCCUCCCGAACUGGUGGACUGGAAUGACUCUGCCGUGGGAGGAAUGUGUAGUGUAGCGGGGAAAUGCUUAGAGAUUACACAGAACACCGAUUGCGAAGGCAUCUCACGAAGGGUUGAUUGACGCUGAGGCACGAAAGCGUGGGGAUCAAACAGGAUUAGAUACCCUGGUAGUCCACGCAGUAAACGAUGAUGGCUAACCGCUGGUUUAUUCGGAUCAGUGGCCAAGCGAAAGCGAUAAGCCAUCCACCUGGGGAGUACGACCGCAAGGUUGAAACUCAAAUGAAUUGGCGGGG
RNAcentral lists this ribosomal RNA (393 nucleotides) under uncultured bacterium. RNAcentral's name for it is "partial 16S ribosomal RNA". It matches the Rfam family "Bacterial small subunit ribosomal RNA", at positions 523 to 918 of the family's 1533-position model. The record is from RNAcentral.